GACGAACGCUGGCGGCGUGCCUAACACAUGCAAGUCGAACGGGGUUGAGCCCUUCGGGACUCAACUUAGUGGCGAACGGGUGAGUAACGCGUGAGAAACCUACCUUUCAGUGGGGGACAACAGUUGGAAACGACUGCUAAUACCGCAUGAUGUAUCGAGGGGGCAUCCUUUUGAUACCAAAGCUUAAUGUGCUGAAAGAUGGUCUCGCGUCUGAUUAGCUAGUUGGUGGGGUAACGGCUCACCAAGGCGACGAUCGAGUAGCCGGUCUGAGAGGAUGAACGGCCACAUUGGGACUGAGAUACGGCCCAGACUCCUACGGGAGGCAGCAGUGGGGAAUAUUGGGCAAUGGGGGAAACCCUGACCCAGCAACGCCGCGUGAAGGAAGAAGGCCUUCGGGUUGUAACUUACUUUUAGUUAGGGACGGAAGAACGUGACGGUACCUACAGAAAAGACAACGGACUAACUACGUAG
Molecule: ribosomal RNA, 471 nt
Filed under: uncultured bacterium
Lineage: Bacteria
Description: bacterial SSU rRNA
Rfam family: Bacterial small subunit ribosomal RNA
Source: RNAcentral